This 793-nucleotide small RNA is filed under the name Pan troglodytes (chimpanzee). Its description in RNAcentral is "processed transcript". The record is from RNAcentral. Lineage: Eukaryota; Metazoa; Chordata; Mammalia; Primates; Hominidae.
AGUCUAUGAAACUGUACACUGUGGUCUUAGGCUGUUAUUUUAUCUCUUUUAGAAGAAACAAAGAGCAGCAGCACAGUAAAGGAAGAGAAGUCCAAGGCUUGCGAGAAGGUCAUUUCCGUGGGUCAAACGGUCAUCACGAAGCAUCGGAACACCCGGUAUUACAGUUGCAGAGUGAUGGCUGUGACAUCGCAGACCUUCUAUGAGGUCAUGUUUGAUGAUGGCUCCUUCAGCAGAGACACAUUUCCUGAGGAUAUCGUGAGCCGAGACUGUCUGAAGCUGGGCCCACCUGCCGAGGGAGAAGUCGUCCAAGUCAAGUGGCCUGAUGGCAAACUCUAUGGAGCAAAAUAUUUUGGAUCAAAUAUUGCCCACAUGUACCAGGUUGAGUUUGAAGAUGGAUCCCAGAUAGCAAUGAAGAGAGAGGACAUCUACACGUUAGAUGAAGAGUUACCCAAGAGAGUGAAAGCUCGAUUUGUAAGUGCGGGCAGAUGCCACUUGGGGACCUGCCAAGUGAAUUCCUUGUCCUCACCUCAUGUUUCCCAAGCCCAGCAGGAAACAUACUUGGGCUUUUGGAUUAAUUCUAAAAAAAGCCAAUGCAACAUUUUCCUUAGUGGAACCUAUUGAAUGCAAACUUCAAAUUCAACCAAAAUCGGGGAAAUUAAUGCAUGUGCUUUACUUUUCUUCUAAUGAAGUCACAUGAUGCUUCUUUGUGUUGACAUUUAUUGGUGCACAAAAAUACUUACUGAAUGUGUGCUCUGUGCAAAACACCAGGAGCAAACAAAGAUACCAUCAAGGC